UGUGGGAGCGGGCUUGCUCGCGAUGAAAGCAACGCGGUCUGCCAGAUCCACCGCGUCGCCUGAAUCGCGAGCAAGCCCGCUCCCACA
This 87-nucleotide unclassified non-coding RNA is filed under the name Pseudomonas psychrophila. Lineage: Bacteria; Pseudomonadati; Pseudomonadota; Gammaproteobacteria; Pseudomonadales; Pseudomonadaceae. The record is from RNAcentral.